Molecule: long non-coding RNA, 1664 nt
Organism: Raphanus sativus (radish)
Lineage: Eukaryota; Viridiplantae; Streptophyta; Magnoliopsida; Brassicales; Brassicaceae
Exons: 6
Source: RefSeq, a predicted model, not a curated record
GGAUUUUAUGUUUGGCUUAGCAACUCGAAAUGUAAUGAAACGCAUCGUUUUCUGUUUAGGAGGAUGAACCUAUUCUUCAUCUCCGCCAUAGAAGAACUAAACUCGAUCUAGCAUUUUGAAACAAAGACGGUGGUGAGAAUUAGGGUUAGCCGUCUUCAUCUCAGUGAUGAACGAGCUCCAGCAACAAUGGAGAUCAAAUCGAGUCAGACGAAUCGUCUUUGAGAACCUUGGUAUCAAGCAGCCGCCGUUUCGUAUUCGGUCCGGUCCCCUAGACGUUACAGGUUGUCUUCAUUCAUCGGAUUUAAGAGAUAUUAACUCCACCAACGCGAAUUAAGCAGGACGUCUCAUUCAAUGAUACUCAUCCAACUCUAAGGCGAUUUUCUUUAUCUAUAAAAGGGCUGGUCACUGUUUUUCCACCAUCCAGGUGCGGUUGCUCGGAUUCUGGGAGGCCAGAAGGUGGAUAUAUAUCUAAAAUAUAUGCUUGGUUUCAGGUACUUUGGACAUCAUCGCCACAGUCGCGUGUUGAUCUUUGGAGUGCUGGCUGUGUUUUCUCUGAGAUUCUAACGAGAAGACAACUUCUUAAAGGAAGAACCUAGGUGAGAAAGAGACCAAAAACAACAUGCCGGAUUUACUCAUUCAAGAUUGAAGUUUUUGAUGACUUUUUUCUUGUGUGAGUUUGUUCUCUGUAAGAUUGAACAACCACCAUUGUGGGAAAAGAACCAGCUUCAUUGUGAAACUAGCUAAGAUGUUACCACAACAUCAGUAUGAAGGUUGUCUGAGUGAGCUUCUGAAUAAAGCGGGGGGAUUUAUUAUCUAAUCCAGAGAAACGCAGAGCUGCCUCUUUUGCUCUCAUGUGAAAGUACUUUAACACAAAGCCUUACGCUUGGACAUUAUCUAAGUACCCUCCUAACACAAAGCCUUACGCUUGGAUAUGGAAUCAACACUAAGUUACUAAGUACGGUGAAAAACUUCAACGAAGGGGAGGAGUUGGUAUAAAGAAAAGCAAUAACUUGGUAUCCAAGAAUACGGGAAAAUCACGUACAGCAAUCAAAGAGCCUAAACUCUUAAUAAGUCACCAACCCAACAGUAAGCAAAAAUGGAAGCCUAGACAGAAAUCAUUCUUCCAACGCAACCGGAGACAUCUCAGUGACGACUCGAAGCGAGGAAAGAAAACGAUGCAGCUUCAACACUUACUUAUAAUCAGCCUACUGGAUCUGCGAGCCAUCUUAGUAUAAAUGAAGACAAACUGAGCUUUCUCUGAUAGCAAGUUUAUUUAGCCUUAUCUGAUGUGUCACUGUUCUCUGGCGUACAUCACAAGAAAUCAGAAAAAAUGGUGAGUCCGUUAGGCAGGCUUUAUCGAAAGCUGAGACGAAACCAAAGAUUUUUCACACAAAUGGGAUGAAUGGUAUUACGGAGGACUGAGAGUGAUACCAGAGUUGGUGUUCGAAGACUAUCAAGAAUAUUAAGAGUUAUAAAUGAGAGAAAAAGAACUACCAUAGGUUUUAGCCAGUCAUACACUUCGCAUCAUAUGUAAAUUACAAAUUCUUCCCAGUUGUGUGUGUUAUAUGUUAUAGUGUGAAGUUUGUUUAUUGAAAUUAUGGUCAUAGGAUGGUAACUUGGUCGAGAAUUAAUAAGGUAGCCAUUUCAAAAUAUUACUUAGUCUA